Molecule: ribosomal RNA, 645 nt
Filed under: uncultured Sphingomonadales bacterium
Lineage: Bacteria; Pseudomonadati; Pseudomonadota; Alphaproteobacteria; Sphingomonadales
Description: bacterial SSU rRNA
Rfam family: Bacterial small subunit ribosomal RNA
Source: RNAcentral
AGUGGCGGACGGGUGAGUAACGCGUGAGAAUCUGGCUUCAGGUCCGGGACAACCACUGGAAACGGUGGCUAAUACCGGAUAUGCCUUUAGAGGUGAAAGAUUAAUUGCCUGAAGAUGAGCUCGCGUCUGAUUAGCUAGUUGGUGGGGUAAGAGCCUACCAAGGCGACGAUCAGUAACUGGUCUGAGAGGAUGACCAGUCACACUGGGACUGAGACACGGCCCAGACUCCUACGGGAGGCAGCAGUGGGGAAUAUUGGACAAUGGGCGAAAGCCUGAUCCAGCAAUGCCGCGUGAGUGAUGAAGGCCUUAGGGUUGUAAAGCUCUUUUACCCGGGAUGAUAAUGACAGUACCGGGAGAAUAAGCCCCGGCUAACUCCGUGCCAGCAGCCGCGGUAAUACGGAGGGGGCUAGCGUUGUUCGGAAUUACUGGGCGUAAAGCGCACGUAGGCGGCUUUGUAAGUCAGAGGUGAAAUCCCGGGGCUCAACCCCGGAACUGCCUUUGAGACUGCAUCGCUCGAAUCCAGGAGAGGUGAGUGGAAUUCCGAGUGUAGAGGUGAAAUUCGUAGAUAUUCGGAAGAACACCAGUGGCGAAGGCGGCUCACUGGACUGGUAUUGACGCUGAGGUGCGAAAGCGUGGGGAGCAAAC